This 2252-nucleotide long non-coding RNA is filed under the name Homo sapiens (human). RNAcentral's name for it is "HSALNT0049831". Lineage: Eukaryota; Metazoa; Chordata; Mammalia; Primates; Hominidae. The record is from RNAcentral.
CCCGCCGCGCAUCGGCUCCGGGCUCAAGGCGCUCCUGCAGCUGCCAGCCAGUGACCCCACUUACUGGGCCACUGCCUACUUCGACGUCCUGCUGGACAAGGUCAGCAGCCCCAGGAAUGCUGAGGCCAGGUCAGGGCUCGGAUGGAGAGCGUCUGCGGGGACAUGUGAUGUCUGGGGGUCACACGGGCCGUGGGGGUCCCCUCACUGGUGGCCUCACAGGGCCUGGGGCUUCUCCCUGGAACCAGGGCAGUGGGUCUGACCCUGCUUCUGUUUCCCACCAGAAUUGCCCCCCAGCUCACACUUGGUAAAUGCUCAGAGCCCCAGCUGCCCACCCUGGAGUUCCAUUCCUCAUGAAGGGAUAUGGCCUUACCUGGGCCCCAGAGGGACCAUUUUUUUCUCCCUGGACUCAAGAAUCCACAGCCGUGCUCCUUGGGACCCUGUGUCCCCUGGGCCACUUCUCGUGGGUGCCUGGAGGCUCCACCAACUGCCCCUCCCUGUGGCCCAGGCUCUGCCACCUCUGCUGAGCCUGCCUGGAGUCCACCCUGCUCCUCGCCCAGGGCCCGGCCCUCACCCUCAUCCCAGGAGCAAACACAAUCUCCUUCCAGGGCACAAACAGGGGUUUCUCAGCCACCCUCUCCUGUGUCCUAGUGGCAGUGAGGCCCCAGGGUAGCCACCCUCUGCUGGGCAUCUCCUAUCCUAAUUUAGCAAACUUCCGCCUGUUGAGAUGCUGAUGGCCUCCUGGGGCCUCCCCUCAUGCCCAACACUUAAGAAUUUUUACCCCAGAGCCUGCAGAUUAGGGGGCAAAGGCCAUGCUCUGUGCUCUCAGCAGACCUGUGUGGGCAGGGUGCGGUGAGGGUGGGGUGGUCACCGGAGGCAGCCUUCAAGCAGCACCGUGUGGGGCCUCCUCCUCAGUGUAGGCCCAUGCCAGGGACGCCGUGUGUGAGGAGGGGCUCAGGGAGCAGCAGAGGCUGGGGCCGCUCCGCCUCUAGGAUGCCUGUCCAGGCAGAUACCCGGGGCAGGAAGGCCCGGCAUGGCCCAGGGAGGGCCAGUUGUUCCACGCUGUGCUCUCGGCCCUGAGAGCUUAUCAUGGGCUCCAGGGGUCCCUGUAACCCUUCUCCCCUGCAACCCUGCCUGUAGUUCCAGGUCUUCAACAUCCAGGAUAAGGACCGGAUCUCUGCCAUGCAGAGCAUCUUCCAGAAGACCAGGACUCUGGGAGGCGAGGAGAGCUGAGCUGGGCCACCUGGUCUCAGCCACCUGUUCUUGGCUCCCCAACAGACUCUGCACUGCACCAUGGGAGGCUCCUGGGAUGUUUGGAAGAAGAAACGGGCUUCUCCUUGAGGGGGUAGUGGAGGGAUUUUGUCCCCAGCAGUGGCCUCUGAGAGUCUUUCAGUGCCUGGUGGGGCAGGGCAGGCCUCUUGGAGCACCUCCUCCCUGGGUCAGGGCCUGGAUGCAGGUGCCAAGCUCUCCAUGUGGUGCAUGUUGACCCAGCCACGUGGUGUUGUCAAGCAAACAGCAUCGGCAGGAGACCUGGAGCUGAGGACUUGGCCCUGCCUGCACUGUAUGCCAUUCCUUGGUGACGAAAUGCUGUAUAUUUGGUUUUGAAAAAAUGAAUGUGCUGGGUAUACACAGCAGAAAGGGUACUGUCCACUUUUUGUAUAUCAGUGUGGAAAAUAUUUCCCCUAGAAGUAGAAAAGGCUCAUGUGCUGAUGGAUAAUUUUGAGUCUUCUCCAUUCUCUGUGAAUGACCCCCUUCCCCAGGCAUCCCCACCUCCUACCUCGUUCUUAGAGCAAACUAAAGCCAACUGAGGGUGCACACACAGCCAUGAGCCCACCUGCCCAGGACUACUCCCAUCUGCUUCUUCCCGUCCCCGUGGAAGUGGCCCCUGAUAUGGAUUGUAUCUGUAUCCCCACCCAAAUCUCAGGUAGAAUUGGAUCUGUGUCCCCACCCAAGUCUCAGGUAGACUUGUAAUCCCCAGUGUUGGAGGAGGGGCCCAGUGGGAGGUGAUUGGAUCAUGGGGGUGGAUUUCUCCCUUACUGUUCUCAUGAUAGUGAGUGAGUUCUCAUGAGAUCUGGUUUUUUGAGUGUGUGGCCCCUCCCCCUCUCCUUUUGCUCUCUUCCUCUUUCUCCGGCCAUGUAAGAUAUGCCUCCUUCUCCUUCACCUUCCACCAUGAUUGUCAGUUUCCUGAGGCCUCCCAGCCAUGCUUCCUGUAUAGCCUGCGGGACUGUGAGUCAAUUAAACCUCUUUAUUCAUUA